RNAcentral lists this ribosomal RNA (254 nucleotides) under uncultured bacterium. Its description in RNAcentral is "partial 16S ribosomal RNA". It matches the Rfam family "Bacterial small subunit ribosomal RNA", at positions 524 to 776 of the family's 1533-position model. The record is from RNAcentral.
UACGUAGGUGACCAGCGUUGUCCGGAUUUACUGGGCGUAAAGGGCGCGUAGGCGGCCACCGCAAGUCGACUGUGAAAUCUCCGGGCUUAACCCGGAAAGGUCAGCCGAUACUGCGGGGCUAGAGUGCAGAAGGGGCAACUGGAAUUCUCGGUGUAGCGGUGAAAUGCGUAGAUAUCGAGAGGAACACCUGCGGCGAAGGCGGGUUGCUGGGCUGACACUGACGCUGAUGCGCGAAAGCUAGGGUAGCAAACGGG